UACAGAGGGGGCGAGCGUUGUUCGGAAUUACUGGGCGUAAAGGGCGCGUAGGCGGCCCGCUAAGUCGAACGUGAAAUCCCCAGGCUCAACCUGGGAACUGCGUCCGAUACUGGCAGGCUUGAAUCCGGGAGAGGGAUGUGGAAUUCCAGGUGUAGCGGUGAAAUGCGUAGAUAUCUGGAGGAACACCGGUGGCGAAGGCGGCAUCCUGGACCGGUAGUGACGCUGAGGCGCGAAAGCUAGGGGAGCAAACGGG
Molecule: ribosomal RNA, 253 nt
Filed under: uncultured bacterium
Lineage: Bacteria
Description: partial 16S ribosomal RNA
Rfam family: Bacterial small subunit ribosomal RNA
Source: RNAcentral